Molecule: small nuclear RNA, 21 nt
Filed under: Arabidopsis thaliana (thale cress)
Lineage: Eukaryota; Viridiplantae; Streptophyta; Magnoliopsida; Brassicales; Brassicaceae
Description: snRNA_03121
Source: RNAcentral
CGGCUGGAAGAGCACCGCACG